CCCGUCUUGAAACCCGAACCAAGGAGUGCAAGAGGCACGCGAGUCUGAAGGGUGGUGAGCGUUCGGUUACGUCCGAUCGCGUUCCCGAGAGACCCUCGGGAGGCGAAGUGAGAGCAAGUGGUUGUUCGAUCGGGUGCGAGAGCCCCNUNGAAGGGCGCAUCGCAAACCGAGCCUUCGGUCACGCCGUGGCCGGCUUCGAGCUAGAGCGUACACGUUGSGACCCGAAAGAUGGUGAACUAUGCCUGAGUAGGUUGAGGCCAGAGGAAACUCUGGUGGAGGCCCGCAGCGGUUCUGACGUGCAAAUCGAUCGUCGCACUUGGGUAUAGGGGCGAAAGACUAAUCGAACCRUCUAGUAGCUGGUUCCCUCCGAAGUUUCCCUCAGGAUAGCUGGAGCCGUGGUCGUUGUCAGUUUCGUCGGGUAAAGCGAAUGAUUAGAGGUAUCGGGGUCGAAAGGACCUCGACCUAUUCUCAAACUUUGAAUCGGCGAGCGUUGUCGGGAGGUCCUUGCCUGCGGGAAGGUCCCUGCCAGACGUUGUCGGAAUGAAAAGGCUCCUGGUGGGCCGUUUUUGGUAAGCAGAACCGGCGAUGCGGGAUGAACCGAAAGUCGGGCUAAGGCGCCGGAGUCGACGCUGAGUUAGAUCCCAUGAAAGGUGUUGGUUGAU
RNAcentral lists this ribosomal RNA (662 nucleotides) under Xestospongia caminata. RNAcentral's name for it is "eukaryotic LSU rRNA". It matches the Rfam family "Eukaryotic large subunit ribosomal RNA", at positions 648 to 1232 of the family's 3401-position model. The record is from RNAcentral. Lineage: Eukaryota; Metazoa; Porifera; Demospongiae; Haplosclerida; Petrosiidae.